UACGAAGGGGGCUAGCGUUGUUCGGAUUUACUGGGCGUAAAGCGCACGUAGGCGGUCUUUUAAGUCGGGGGUGAAAUCCUGGAGCUCAACUCCAGAACUGCCUUCGAUACUGGAAGACUCGAGUCCGGGAGAGGUGAGUGGAACUGCGAGUGUAGAGGUGAAAUUCGUAGAUAUUCGCAAGAACACCAGUGGCGAAGGCGGCUCACUGGCCCGGUACUGACGCUGAGGUGCGAAAGCGUGGGGAGCAAACAGGG
Molecule: ribosomal RNA, 254 nt
Filed under: uncultured bacterium
Lineage: Bacteria
Description: partial 16S ribosomal RNA
Rfam family: Bacterial small subunit ribosomal RNA
Source: RNAcentral